This 486-nucleotide ribosomal RNA is filed under the name uncultured bacterium. RNAcentral describes it as "partial 16S ribosomal RNA". It matches the Rfam family "Bacterial small subunit ribosomal RNA", at positions 28 to 507 of the family's 1533-position model. The record is from RNAcentral.
GAUGAACGCUGGCGGCGUGCCUAAUACAUGCAAGUCGAACGCUGGAAAUCUAGCUUGCUAGAUUGAAGGAGUGGCGAACGGGUGAGUAAUACAUAAGCAACCUACCCACGAAGACUGGGAUAAUCUCUGGAAACGGGGACUAAUACCGGAUAGGUAAUCGGAAGGCAUCUUCUGAUUAUUAAAGGUUAAAAACACUGGUGGAUGGGCUUAUGGCGCAUUAGUUAGUUGGUGAGGUAACGGCCCACCAAGACGAUGAUGCGUAGCCGGCCUGAGAGGGUGAACGGCCACAUUGGGACUGAGACACGGCCCAGACUCCUACGGGAGGCAGCAGUAGGGAAUUUUCGGCAAUGGGGGAAACCCUGACCGAGCCACGCCGCGUGAGUGAUGACGGCCUUCGGGUUGUAAAGCUCUGUUGUAAGGGAAGAACGGUAGAUAGAGAAUAUCUAAAUGACGGUACCUUACCAGAAAGCCACGGCUAACUACGUG